UAGGAUGUGGAGGGGUUAGAGGCUUUUCAUGGAAAUUUUUGGAGGCUUGAUAUUCAGGUGGUAGGCAGCGACAGUUAACAAUGGAAACGAUACAUCUAAGCAUAACAAAAUUAGAAAUGAUAUCAAGGUCAUGGUCAUCUUGUCUGACAAUUCUUUUGAGGGAUAAAACUCUUGCCCUCCGGAACAUUCUCAACGGAAUCCUCCUACUCGUUCUCGGCACCUGAUGCUACCCAAAAUAAAAA
Molecule: long non-coding RNA, 242 nt
Filed under: Hordeum vulgare
Lineage: Eukaryota; Viridiplantae; Streptophyta; Magnoliopsida; Poales; Poaceae
Description: long non-coding RNA (HVUL_LNC003736)
Source: RNAcentral